RNAcentral lists this unclassified non-coding RNA (204 nucleotides) under Hevea brasiliensis (rubber tree). The record is from RNAcentral. Lineage: Eukaryota; Viridiplantae; Streptophyta; Magnoliopsida; Malpighiales; Euphorbiaceae.
GAAGGAGACAACAGUGGUGUUACUCAAUUCCUCACUCAAAUUGAAAUUCUAGGGUGGGGAGAUAACAAAUUCUGUAGGUUAGAGAGGAGGUGAGUGCUUGGUGACCAAGAACUAAUCGAGAAUAGGAAGAUUUAGAUGGUGAAAUUCAUGGUUUUUGCCCUAAACACUGUUGCUGAACUCCUCCCUUAUUUCCCCAAAAAAAAU